UCCGGGUGUUCUCCUGUGGUUUUGCCGUAGCGUGCUUACUCUGGAUCGCAGUUCGCUGCUGUUUCAAAAUCAGACCACGUUUUGCUGGUAAAAUAACAGGCAGUUUUAUUUUCUAAGGUUAACAAGGGUAUGUGGUAGAUAACUAAUGCCGGAUGUCAAGGACAAGAGCCAGAACAGGGAGCCCUGUGGUGCCUGUUUUGAUGGGCACAUCCUGAAAGGUCUUAGCCUGAAAAUAAGGUGAAUAUGCGAGGCAGGAGCUUGCAGGGCAAGCCAGUCAUGGUGGGGAAGAGGCAGGACAGCGCUCAGGCGUGGUCUCCCAGUCUGGUGGAGGAGUCCUGCGCCUGGCUAUGGCGGUUGGAAGCCUCCGUACACAGGGCUGCUGUUUGCUGCCACCGGUAUGGGAUGUGGUGUUUGGUCAAGAAUACUGGCCUGCUUGUUCCUUCCAGAGAAAACCGAUCUCUCCUUGCUGAACAUAAAAGAAGCUUUAUCAAAUGUUGACUAUGUAAAUAAUCUUUCUGGCAAUAUUCUUCGCAGCAACCAGUCUAUUCCUCUCAUGACCUUAAAUCCUGUAGAUACUAAUAAAUGAAGAUUAGCCUGCUGCGGGUGUAAAACUCUAAAGUUGCCAUAGCGUUCCUGUAAAAUGUUCACUGCUGCCAAAAACACCAAACAAAAAACCCAUAAUCAUUCUUCAUCUGCAAAACAGGCUUAUGGUGGAGAUCCCUCCGGAAGUCCUGUGAAUCCCCUGCCCUCUCCGUAUAUGGAAACACGGACUCAACUCCAUGGACUCCAAAAUGGAACUAGUGCUAGUCUAUUAAAAUUACGU
Mustela erminea (ermine) is the source of this 823-nucleotide long non-coding RNA. RefSeq lists it as uncharacterized. The record is from RefSeq and is a predicted model, not a curated record. The transcript has 3 exons. NCBI's taxonomy places the organism in Eukaryota, Metazoa, Chordata, Mammalia, Carnivora, Mustelidae.